AUUGAACGCUGGCGGCAUGCCUUACACAUGCAAGUCGAACGGUAACAGGUCUUCGGAUGCUGACGAGUGGCGAACGGGUGAGUAAUACAUCGGAACGUGCCCGAUCGUGGGGGAUAACGGAGCGAAAGCUUUGCUAAUACCGCAUACGAUCUACGGAUGAAAGCAGGGGACCGCAAGGCCUUGCGCGGACGGAGCGGCCGGUGGCAGAUUAGGUAGUUGGUGGGAUAUAAGCUUACCAAGCCGACGAUCUGUAGCUGGUCUGAAAGGACGACCAGCCACACUGGGACUGAGACACGGCCCAGACUCCUACGGGAGGCAGCAGUGGGGAAUUUUGGACAAUGGGCGAAAGCCUGAUCCAGCCAUGCCGCGUGCAGGAUGAAGGCCUUCGGGUUGGAAACUGCUUUUGUACGGAACGAAAAGACUCUUUCUAAUAAAGAGGGUCCAUGACGGUACCGUAAGAAUAAGCACCGGCUAACUACGUG
Molecule: ribosomal RNA, 482 nt
Filed under: uncultured bacterium
Lineage: Bacteria
Description: partial 16S ribosomal RNA
Rfam family: Bacterial small subunit ribosomal RNA
Source: RNAcentral